AGCGAACGCUGGCGGCAGGCCUAACACAUGCAAGUCGAACGGACCCUUCGGGGUUAGUGGCGGACGGGUGAGUAACACGUGGGAACGUGCCUUUAGGUUCGGAAUAGCUCCUGGAAACGGGUGGUAAUGCCGAAUGUGCCCUUCGGGGAAAGAUUUAUCGCCUUUAGAGCGGCCCGCGUCUGAUUAGCUAGUUGGUGAGGUAACGGCUCACCAAGGCGACGAUCAGUAGCUGGUCUGAGAGGAUGACCAGCCACACUGGGACUGAGACACGGCCCAGACUCCUACGGGAGGCAGCAGUGGGGAAUCUUGCGCAAUGGGCGAAAGCCUGACGCAGCCAUGCCGCGUGAAUGAUGAAGGUCUUAGGAUUGUAAAAUUCUUUCACCGGGGACGAUAAUGACGGUACCCGGAGAAGAAGCCCCGGCUAACUUCGUG
Molecule: ribosomal RNA, 432 nt
Filed under: uncultured bacterium
Lineage: Bacteria
Description: partial 16S ribosomal RNA
Rfam family: Bacterial small subunit ribosomal RNA
Source: RNAcentral